This 525-nucleotide ribosomal RNA is filed under the name Asiodiplosis delicatula. RNAcentral's name for it is "partial large subunit ribosomal RNA". Lineage: Eukaryota; Metazoa; Arthropoda; Insecta; Diptera; Cecidomyiidae. The record is from RNAcentral.
AGUUUUUUUAAUCAUUAGAAAAUAUAAUCUGCCCAUUGAAAAUAUUUUUUUUUAAAAGGCCGCAGUAUAUUGACUGUGCAAAGGUAGCAUAAUCAUUAGAUUUUUAAUUGGGAUCUUGAAUGAAUGGUUAAAUGAAAUAUAAACUUUUUUAAUUUUAUUAUUUGAAUUUUAUUUAUAAGUAAAAAAUCUUAUUUUAAAAAAUGGGACGAGAAGACCCUAUAGAAUUUUAUAAAUUUGAUUAAUUUAUUAUUAAUAUUUAAUUUAUUAUUUUAAAUUUUAUUUUGUUGGGGAGAUAGUUAAAUUUUUAAAACUUUAAUAAAAAAAAUCAUUUAUUAAUGUUAAAUUGAUCCUUUUAUAUUGAUUAUAAAAUUAAAUUACCUUAGGGAUAACAGCAUAAUAAUUUUAAUAAGUUCUUAUUUUUAAAGUAGUUUAUGACCUCGAUGUUGAAUUAAAAUAAUUAUUUUAUGAAGGGAUAAAAUAAAUAAGUCUGUUCGACUUUUAAAUUUUUACAUGAUUUGAGUUCAA